AUCUGCUUGAGACUGAAGCCACAGGAGUCAGCAGAGCAGAAAGAUGGAGGGAGAGAAAUCAUUUGAACCCUCGGUCUGGUGGUACCCAAAGUUAGACAACCCCGUGGACUUCUGAUUUAAGAACCUUGGUCAACCAGAGUGUUCUGUCAAAAGGACUGCAGAAGCUGCAUCCAGAUUUGGCUGCACUUGUGUGGGCUGAGCACCCCGUGGCAUCAGAGAAUCCUGCCCACCACCGCCCAGCAGAAAGGUCCAUGAGAACGGACUUGAGAUGGACACUGGCAGAGCAAAGUGAGUCUGAGAUGACUCGGGACUGUCCACUGCAGCUGCAGCUACAGGCAGAAAUGAACUGAGAGGGAAUGACAUGGUGGGCAUGCUGGACGUGUCUGCUACCCUCCCUGACUAUGACCCAGAACUCAGUUCAUGCUCAGCAGUUUGAUAUUUAGGCUCCAUGAUCUAAUCAAUGCAUUUGAUUCUGCAAUUUAAUUGAAGGUACAGUUUGAAAUCAGUGAUAACCUGAAGUUACAAAGUGAAGAUUAACAUCACAAUUGCCACCUUACUCAUAUUCAGGUAGAAUUUAAAUCCUUGCAUUCUCUUCUCUCUCUUCCUGCUGUUUAACUUUCAAAUUUCUCUCUGUAUGCUACUAUCUCUACUUAAGGAUAGGAAUGAAAAAGCAAGGUGUGAAAAUAGAACCUGUCAAAUAUUGUCACCUGUUAGUGUCUUCUAAAAGUCCUUACGGAAUAGGAGGCUGAGGUUAUUGGCUAAAAUGAGGUUUGGGGAUUAUAUGUGAUUUUAAUUUCUCCACACUAUCCAAUUUCUAUAGUUAAUUUGGACAUGACUCAUAACCCUGAAAAGUCAACACAGAACACAGAGAAGAAAGAUGCAUCAACUUCUUAUUAUUGUUGAGGCUGCAUUUCCUGUGUGCAAUGGGCACAGUGGACAAAGGAUACAGAGGAAGUGUGGCAUGGUGAAAACUGCAAACUUUGUGAGUCUGAGUUUUCCCAUUUGCUAGCCAUGAGACCACACAGCCUCAGUUUCCUCAACCGUAAGAUAAGGGCAAUAAUAGCAUCCUUGCAGGGCUAUUUUGGUUAGGCAUAGUGUUUGGCAUAUCCCAAUUGCAUUGUUACUAGUCAAUUAAUAAACAAA
RNAcentral lists this long non-coding RNA (1143 nucleotides) under Equus caballus (horse). RNAcentral's name for it is "lncRNA (ENSECAG00000029796.3)". Lineage: Eukaryota; Metazoa; Chordata; Mammalia; Perissodactyla; Equidae. The record is from RNAcentral.